GUUGGGUGCUGUAUUCUGGAAUCCUGGAGUAGAUCUGGUGCCAAUAUCUGAAUAAAAGUCUCUUCUUUGUUAAAAUUAUUAUGGUCAGACUGGUGAAUCUCUGAACAAUCCUGAACCCAUAACAUCUGGGGGCUCAGCUGGGAUUUGGGCAUUUAGCCAGAUCCACCUUCUUUUUUUGACUGGCCUUGGGACCCUGGAGAAAUCAGAUAGGCUCAGCAUUGGGAUGGAGCCAUCAUCUUCAAUGCCUAGACUUCACAAAAGACCUUGAAUCCCUGAGAGUUGCUGGUGUACUGGGUGCCAGGAAAUCAGGUUGGCCCAGGGUUUGGAGGGAGCCACUAGCACAUUCUCAACACUUAAGAUUGUGAGACAAGGGAUCAUUAGAAAACCUCCAGAAGUACAGAACUCUAGGGAUGAGAGGCCACUUCAGGAGGCCCAUGCCCCGAGACAUUCCAAGGCUCUGAGGCUGCCCUCAGUUCACAGACCAUCAGAGUGAACUGCCAUGCUGAGAAACGCAGCAAGCAUCUACUGAGGUCUCCUGUCUAUAUCUGUCUCAGCAGAUUUCCACUUGUCUGACAGACACCAUCCAGGAAACAGCUACUGACUAUGACAUUUGAGACCUGGAAAGUUGCUGAAAGUUGCUGUGGACCAGUCCAGCCAAUGUGAUUGUUCCCUGUUUCUUCAGCUGGGUCAGAUUACCAGGUUCCUUCUAGAUAGUAAUUCUGAUGUCAGUCAUCACAGGGCUUAACUAAAUGAUAAUUCCUGAGAAACCAGAGAUGGACCUGGCAGAGAGUCUAUCAACCCGGCCAAUAUCUAAUUAAAGCUUGCUUCAAAUUUGACUUUAAA
Peromyscus maniculatus bairdii (prairie deer mouse) is the source of this 843-nucleotide non-coding RNA. The record is from RefSeq and is a predicted model, not a curated record. Lineage: Eukaryota; Metazoa; Chordata; Mammalia; Rodentia; Cricetidae.